Molecule: ribosomal RNA, 459 nt
Filed under: uncultured bacterium
Lineage: Bacteria
Description: bacterial SSU rRNA
Rfam family: Bacterial small subunit ribosomal RNA
Source: RNAcentral
GAGUUUGAUCCUGGCUCAGGAUGAACGCUGGCGGUAUGCUUAACACAUGUAAGUCGAACGAAACCUUUCGGGGUUUAGUGGCGGACGGGUGAGUAACGCGUGAGAAUCUGGCUUCAGGUCUGGGACAACCACUGGAAACGGUGGCUAAUACCGGAUGUGCCGAAAGGUGAAAGGUUAACUGCCUGAAGAUGAGCUCGCGUCUGAUUAGCUAGUUGGUAGUGUAAUGGACUACCAAGGCGACGAUCAGUAGCUGGUCUGAGAGGACGAUCAGCCACACUGGGACUGAGACACGGCCCAGACUCCUACGGGAGGCAGCAGUGGGGAAUUUUCCGCAAUGGGCGAAAGCCUGACGGAGCAAUACCGCGUGAGGGAGGAAGGCUCUUGGGUCGUAAACCUCUUUCUCAGGGAAGAACACAAUGACGGUACCUGAGGAAUAAGCAUCGGCUAACUCCGUGCCAG